RNAcentral lists this transfer RNA (110 nucleotides) under Candidatus Woesearchaeota archaeon. Its description in RNAcentral is "tRNA-Pro". It matches the Rfam family "tRNA". From Rfam's summary of the family: Transfer RNA (tRNA) molecules are approximately 80 nucleotides in length. Their secondary structure includes four short double-helical elements and three loops (D, anti-codon, and T loops). Further hydrogen bonds mediate the characteristic L-shaped molecular structure. tRNAs have two regions of fundamental functional importance: the anti-codon, which is responsible for specific mRNA codon recognition, and the 3' end, to which the tRNAs corresponding amino acid is attached (by aminoacyl-tRNA synthetases). tRNAs cope with the degeneracy of the genetic code in two manners: having more than one tRNA (with a specific anti-codon) for a particular amino acid; and 'wobble' base-pairing, i.e. permitting non-standard base-pairing at the 3rd anti-codon position. Lineage: Archaea; Nanobdellati; Candidatus Woesearchaeota. The record is from RNAcentral.
GGGGCUGUAGUGUAGCCUGGAGAAGAGGAAUCACGUAAAUUCCCCCUUUCGAGCAAUUAUCACUAAUGGUUUGGGACCAUUGAACCCCGGUUCAAAUCCGGGCAGCCCCA